This 73-nucleotide transfer RNA is filed under the name Ailuropoda melanoleuca (giant panda). It matches the Rfam family "tRNA". From Rfam's summary of the family: Transfer RNA (tRNA) molecules are approximately 80 nucleotides in length. Lineage: Eukaryota; Metazoa; Chordata; Mammalia; Carnivora; Ursidae. The record is from Rfam by way of RNAcentral.
GCCUGGCUGGCUCAGUAGGUAGAGCAUGUGACUCUUGAUCUUAGGUCUGUGAGUUUGAGCCCCACAUUGGGUG